GCGGAGGAAAAGAAAAUAACAAUGAUUUCCCUAGUAACGGCGAGUGAAGAGGAAAGAGCUCAAAGUUGGAACCUGUUUGGCCUAGCUAAACAGGAUUGUAAACUGUAGAAGUGUUUUCCAGGCAAUCCGAGUUAACAAGUCCUUUGGAACAGGGCAUCAUAGAGGGUGAGAAUCCCGUCUUUGAUUCGAGAAUUUUUUGCCUUUUGCGAUACACUUUCAAAGAGUCAGGUUGUUUGGGAAUGCAGCCUAAAUUGGGUGGUAAAUCUCACCUAAAGCUAAAUAUUGGCGAGAAACCGAUAGCGAACAAGUACCGUGAGGGAAAGAUGAAAAGAACUUUGAAAAGAGAGUUAAACAGUAUGUGAAAUUGUUAAAAGGGAACCGUUUGGAGCCAGACUGGCUUGUCUGUAAUCAAUCUAGGCUUUGGCCUGGAUGCACUUGCAGACUAUGCCUGCCAACGACAAUUUGAUUUGAGGGAAAAAACUAGAGGAAAUGUGGCCAGCUUUUUUUUGUUGGUGUUAUAGUCCUUUAGAAAAUACCUUGGAUUGGAUUGAGGAACGCAGCGAAUGCUCUUGUGGCGAGUCUUUGAUAAGUCUUUACAGAUAUGACUGGGUGUU
This 614-nucleotide ribosomal RNA is filed under the name Rhizopus sexualis. RNAcentral describes it as "eukaryotic LSU rRNA". It matches the Rfam family "Eukaryotic large subunit ribosomal RNA", at positions 50 to 627 of the family's 3401-position model. Lineage: Eukaryota; Fungi; Mucoromycota; Mucoromycetes; Mucorales; Rhizopodaceae. The record is from RNAcentral.